RNAcentral lists this ribosomal RNA (443 nucleotides) under uncultured bacterium. Its description in RNAcentral is "partial 16S ribosomal RNA". It matches the Rfam family "Bacterial small subunit ribosomal RNA", at positions 338 to 795 of the family's 1533-position model. The record is from RNAcentral.
CCUACGGGCGGCAGCAGUGGGGAAUAUUGGGCAAUGGAGGCAACUCUGACCCAGCAACGCCGCGUGAAUGAUGAAGGUCUUCGGAUUGUAAAGUUCUGUGAUGGGGGAUGAACACAAUGACGGUACCCCAAGAACAAGCCACGGCUAACUACGUGGCAGCAGCCGCGGUAAUAAGUAGUUGGCAAGCGUUAACCGGAAGGACGGGGAGUAAAGGGGGCUUAGGUGGGUUAGUAAGUUGGAUGUGUAAGUCCGCGGCUCAACCUCGGCGCUUCCGCCGAAACUAUUAGACUAGAAUGCAGGAGGGGUAAGUGGAAUUCCAAGUGUAGCGGUGGAAGGCGCAGAGAUUUGGAGGAACACCAGUGGCGAAGGCGACUUUCUGGACUGUAACUGACGCUGAGGUACGAAAGCGUGGGGAGCAAACAGGAUUAGAUACCCUUGUAGUC